RNAcentral lists this ribosomal RNA (433 nucleotides) under uncultured bacterium. Its description in RNAcentral is "partial 16S ribosomal RNA". It matches the Rfam family "Bacterial small subunit ribosomal RNA", at positions 29 to 507 of the family's 1533-position model. The record is from RNAcentral.
AACGAACGCUGGCGGCAUGCCUAACACAUGCAAGUCGAACGAGACCUUCGGGUCUAGUGGCGCACGGGUGCGUAACGCGUGGGAACCUGCCCUUAGGUUCGGAAUAACUCCCCGAAAGGGGUGCUAAUACCGGAUAAUGUCUUCGGACCAAAGAUUUAUCGCCUUUGGAUGGGCCCGCGUUGGAUUAGCUAGUUGGUAGGGUAAAAGCCUACCAAGGCGACGAUCCAUAGCUGGUCUGAGAGGAUGAUCAGCCACACUGGGACUGAGACACGGCCCAGACUCCUACGCGAGGCAGCAGUGGGGAAUAUUGGACAAGGGGCGAAAGCCUGAUCCAGCAAUGCCGCGUGAGUGAUGAAGGCCUUAGGGUUGUAAAGCUCUUUUACCCGGGAUGAUAAUGACAGUACCGGGAGAAUAAGCUCCGGCUAACUCCGUG